ACAGCAUCUGAGAUGAAGUAGGAUUACCCGCUGAACUUAAGCAUAUCAUUAAGCGGAGGAAAAGAAACUAACAAGGAUUCCCUUAGUACGGGCGACGGAAGCGGGAAAAGCCCACACUGGUAAUCUCCGUGCGUGAGUACGGCGAAUUGUAAUCUGAAGAGUCAUUGUCAUGGCAAUGGGGAGACGCAGAAGUGUCCACGAGCGGACCGCCAAAGAGGGUGAGAGCCCCGUCUGUAGUGUUUCCUGAGUC
This 250-nucleotide ribosomal RNA is filed under the name Amphorides quadrilineata. RNAcentral describes it as "partial 28S ribosomal RNA". It matches the Rfam family "Eukaryotic large subunit ribosomal RNA", at positions 1 to 241 of the family's 3401-position model. The record is from RNAcentral. Lineage: Eukaryota; Ciliophora; Spirotrichea; Tintinnida; Tintinnidae.